ACCUGGCUGGCUCAGUCGGUAGAGCAUACAGUUCUUGAUCUUGAGGUUGUGAGUUCAAACCCCAUGUCGGGUG
This 73-nucleotide transfer RNA is filed under the name Ailuropoda melanoleuca (giant panda). It matches the Rfam family "tRNA". From Rfam's summary of the family: Transfer RNA (tRNA) molecules are approximately 80 nucleotides in length. Their secondary structure includes four short double-helical elements and three loops (D, anti-codon, and T loops). Lineage: Eukaryota; Metazoa; Chordata; Mammalia; Carnivora; Ursidae. The record is from Rfam by way of RNAcentral.